AUACGUAGGGGGCGAGCGUUGUCCGGAAUGAUUGGGCGUAAAGGGCGCGUAGGCGGCCCGUUAAGUCUGAAGUGAAAGUCCUGCUUUUAAGGUGGGAAUUGCUUUGGAUACUGAUGGGCUUGAGUGCAGGAGAGGUAAGUGGAAUUCCCAGUGUAGCGGUGAAAUGCGUAGAGAUUGGGAGGAACACCAGUGGCGAAGGCGACUUACUGGACUGUAACGGACGCUGAGGCGCGAAAGUGUGGGGAGCAAACAGGAUUAGAUACCCUGGUAGUCCACACUGUAAACGAUGAAUGCUAGGUGUAGGGGGUAUCGACCCCUUCUGUGCCGCAGUCAACACAAUAAGCAUUCCGCCUGGGGAGUACGGCCGCAAGGUUGAAACUCAAAGGAAUUGACGGGG
This 397-nucleotide ribosomal RNA is filed under the name uncultured bacterium. RNAcentral describes it as "partial 16S ribosomal RNA". It matches the Rfam family "Bacterial small subunit ribosomal RNA", at positions 523 to 918 of the family's 1533-position model. The record is from RNAcentral.